Molecule: non-coding RNA, 157 nt
Organism: Myodes glareolus (Bank vole)
Lineage: Eukaryota; Metazoa; Chordata; Mammalia; Rodentia; Cricetidae
Source: RefSeq, a predicted model, not a curated record
CUCCUUUAAGAUGAUACCAUGAUCACGAAGGUCCUUUUCCCAGGGCAAGGCUUAUCCAUUGCUCCCCAGAUGUGCUGACCUCUGUGAUUUCCCCAAAUGCAGGAAACUCAGCUGCAUAAGUUGUGGUAGUGGGGGACUUCAUUCAUGCUCUCUCCUG